CCUACGGGUGGCAGCAGUGAGGAAUAUUGGUCAAUGGGCGAGAGCCUGAACCAGCCAAGUCGCGUGAGGGAGUACUGCCCUAUGGGUUGUAAACCUCUUUUGUCGGGGAGCAAAAGCCGGACGUGUCCGGCUGUGAGAGUACCCGAAGAAAAAGCAUCGGCUAACUCCGUGCCAGCAGCCGCGGUAAUACGGAGGAAGCGGGGUUUAUCCGGGUUUAUUGGGUUUAAAGGGUGCGCAGGCGGAUUUUUAAGUCAGCGGUAAAAUCGUGGGGCUCAACCCCAUCCAGCCGGUGAAACUGGGGAUCUAGAGUGUGCGAGAGGUAUGCGGAAUGCGUGGUGUAGCGGUGAAAUGCAUAGAUAUCACGCAGAACCCCGAUUGCGAAGGCAGCAUACCGGUGCACAACUGACGCUCAGGCACGAAAGCGUGGGUAUCGAACAGGAUUAGAUACCCCAGUAGUC
RNAcentral lists this ribosomal RNA (458 nucleotides) under uncultured bacterium. Its description in RNAcentral is "partial 16S ribosomal RNA". It matches the Rfam family "Bacterial small subunit ribosomal RNA", at positions 338 to 795 of the family's 1533-position model. The record is from RNAcentral.